CCCGCAAGGGUGCAUGGCAGACGGGUGAGUAACGCGUGGGGAACCUACCUCUUUGUGGGGAAUAACGUUCCGAAAGGAAUGGUAAUACCGCAUGAGACCCUGGACUGGGACGUCCAGGGUGAAACCCGGGGACCGCAAGGCCUGGGGCAAGGAGAGGGUCCUGCGUCUGAUUAGCUAGUUGGUGGGGUAAUGGCCUACCAAGGCGACGAUCAGUAGCCGGCCUGAGAGGGUGAUCGGCCACACUGGAACUGAGACACGGUCCAGACUCCUACGGGAGGCAGCAGUGGGGAAUUUUGCGCAAUGGGCGAAAGCCUGACGCAGCAACGCCGCGUGGGUGAUGAAGGUCUUCGGA
RNAcentral lists this ribosomal RNA (352 nucleotides) under uncultured bacterium. RNAcentral describes it as "bacterial SSU rRNA". It matches the Rfam family "Bacterial small subunit ribosomal RNA", at positions 76 to 422 of the family's 1533-position model. The record is from RNAcentral.